AGCGCACGGCUGAGCGAAAAGCCAGGAGCGAAAAUAAAGCGGGAGAAGUCUCAAGGCUAAUCCGGCUGCCGGCGGCGUCUGCCCCGGAGGAAAAUCGUUCCGGUGAGGCCGGUCCCGCCGCUGCUGCGCUGCCGGGCGGUUAUUUUUAACCCCGGCUGGAGGAGGCUCCUCAGGUAGCGAGCGGCUGCCGGGCAGCCCCGCGCCUCCCCCCCCCCCGCAGAAGCCCCCCGUGAUGCUGAGAGAGCUGACACGGCACCCGCCGCAGGAUCAGGACAGGCUGACACCCAGGUGGCACCAGCGACAGCCACCCCAGCAGGGAUCUGGACAGGAUCGUCGCUUGCUGCUUGUUUCGAAGGCUUGGGAGCGGGGCUUCAGUGUUACAUAAAUUCUGCGCUGCCUCUGCUCGGGGGGAUUUGGCCAGGGAGCCACAGCCAGAAGAAUCCUCAAAUGACAAAAAGUUAGGUCAACUUAUAAAGCAGAAAAACAGAAGAAGUCACAUCAAACAAUGAUGCACAGAAAAACUUCAGCACAUUUUCAAAGAGCCUGAAUUUGAAGAAGACAACAAACCCCAAAUUAUUUCCAUCAAAUACUUCCAUAUUCAUAUAAGGUAAACUUGCCUCUCUGAUGACUAAAAUAUUUUAGGAAGAAAAUACGUUCUGAUUAUCAUCUUCAGGGCAUUUUCAGUGACGUUUUAUGGCAGUGGUUUAAAAUAAAAAUCUUAGUCAUUCAACAUUUUAACUGAAAGCAACAUAUUAUGCAAGCAGUUUAUCAAACCCGUUGAGAUACCUGCCUCAUAGUAAUCCAACAAUAAAUAAUGACAGCAUUUAAAGAGAUUUUCAUCAUUAGUACUGUCAGAUCUGAUUGAAAUGUUAUGAAUGUUAAGGUUAAGUAUAUGAAGGCAAUAAAAAUUUAGAUGAA
Molecule: long non-coding RNA, 918 nt
Organism: Cygnus atratus (black swan)
Lineage: Eukaryota; Metazoa; Chordata; Aves; Anseriformes; Anatidae
Exons: 3
Source: RefSeq, a predicted model, not a curated record